This 1447-nucleotide ribosomal RNA is filed under the name Salmonella enterica subsp. enterica serovar Montevideo. RNAcentral's name for it is "partial 23S ribosomal RNA". It matches the Rfam family "Bacterial large subunit ribosomal RNA", at positions 12 to 1503 of the family's 2925-position model. The record is from RNAcentral. Lineage: Bacteria; Pseudomonadati; Pseudomonadota; Gammaproteobacteria; Enterobacterales; Enterobacteriaceae.
UAAGCGUACACGGUGGAUGCCCUGGCAGUCAGAGGCGAUGAAGGGCGUGCUAAUCUGCGAUAAGCGCCGGUAAGGUGAUAUGAACCGUUAUAACCGGCGAUACCCGAAUGGGGAAACCCAGUGUGAUUCGUCACACUAUCAUUAACUGAAUCCAUAGGUUAAUGAGGCGAACCGGGGGAACUGAAACAUCUAAGUACCCCGAGGAAAAGAAAUCAACCGAGAUUCCCCCAGUAGCGGCGAGCGAACGGGGAGGAGCCCAGAGCCUGAAUCAGCAUGUGUGUUAGUGGAAGCGUCUGGAAAGGCGCGCGAUACAGGGUGACAGCCCCGUACACAAAAGCGCAUGUGCUGUGAGCUCGAUGAGUAGGGCGGGACACGUGGUAUCCUGUCUGAAUAUGGGGGGACCAUCCUCCAAGGCUAAAUACUCCUGACUGACCGAUAGUGAACCAGUACCGUGAGGGAAAGGCGAAAAGAACCCCGGCGAGGGGAGUGAAAAAGAACCUGAAACCGUGUACGUACAAGCAGUGGGAGCACCCUUUGGGGUGUGACUGCGUACCUUUUGUAUAAUGGGUCAGCGACUUAUAUUCUGUAGCAAGGUUAACCGUAUAGGGGAGCCGGAGGGAAACCGAGUCUUAACCGGGCGUUAAGUUGCAGGGUAUAGACCCGAAACCCGGUGAUCUAGCCAUGGGCAGGUUGAAGGUUGGGUAACACUAACUGGAGGACCGAACCGACUAAUGUUGAAAAAUUAGCGGAUGACCUGUGGCUGGGGGUGAAAGGCCAAUCAAACCGGGAGAUAGCUGGUUCUCCCCGAAAGCUAUUUAGGUAGCGCCUCGUGAAUUCAUCUCCGGGGGUAGAGCACUGUUUCGGCUAGGGGGCCAUCCCGGCUUACCAACCCGAUGCAAACUGCGAAUACCGGAGAAUGUUAUCACGGGAGACACACGGCGGGUGCUAACGUCCGUCGUGAAGAGGGAAACAACCCAGACCGCCAGCUAAGGUCCCAAAGUCAUGGUUAAGUGGGAAACGAUGUGGGAAGGCCCAGACAGCCAGGAUGUUGGCUUAGAAGCAGCCAUCAUUUAAAGAAAGCGUAAUAGCUCACUGGUCGAGUCGGCCUGCGCGGAAGAUGUAACGGGGCUAAACCAUGCACCGAAGCUGCGGCAGCGACGCUGAUGCGUUGUUGGGUAGGGGAGCGUUCUGUAAGCCUGCGAAGGUGGCCUGUGAGGGUUGCUGGAGGUAUCAGAAGUGCGAAUGCUGACAUAAGUAACGAUAAAGCGGGUGAAAAGCCCGCUCGCCGGAAGACCAAGGGUUCCUGUCCAACGUUAAUCGGGGCAGGGUGAGUCGACCCCUAAGGCGAGGCCGAAAGGCGUAGUCGAUGGGAAACGGGUUAAUAUUCCCGUACUUGGUGUUACUGCGAAGGGGGGACGGAGAAGGCUAUGUUGGCCGGGCGACGGUU